This 219-nucleotide long non-coding RNA is filed under the name Ananas comosus (pineapple). Its description in RNAcentral is "long non-coding RNA (ACOM_LNC021697)". Lineage: Eukaryota; Viridiplantae; Streptophyta; Magnoliopsida; Poales; Bromeliaceae. The record is from RNAcentral.
AUUCAAUCUUUCAAAAUUUUAAUUUUAUUAUUUAAUUUUUUAUUUACUUAAUUUGAAUCCUUCAAUGUUAUUUUAAUUUUAAAAUUUAAGCUAAUUAAUUAUUUUACUGAAUUUAUAAUUAUGAGUACUAUAUAAAAUAUAUUAACUAAAUCUAUAAGAGAAACGACAUAUUUAAAUAUUAAAGUUAAAGUAUCGUACGUCUAGUGAUUCAAAUAAAAU